Molecule: ribosomal RNA, 390 nt
Filed under: uncultured bacterium
Lineage: Bacteria
Description: bacterial SSU rRNA
Rfam family: Bacterial small subunit ribosomal RNA
Source: RNAcentral
CCCAGGGAAACCUGGAUUAAUACCGGAUGAGACGGGACCUGCGAUGGCGGGAUCCGGGAAAGGCGACUACGGCGCCGCCGGGGGAUGAGUCUGCGUCCCAUUAGCUAGACGGCGGGGUAACGGCCCACCGUGGCGACGAUGGGUAGCCGGCCUGAGAGGGUCGGACGGCCACAUUGGAACUGAGACACGGUCCAGACUCCUACGGGAGGCAGCAGCUAAGAAUCUUCCGCAAUGGGCGAAAGCCUGACGGAGCGAACCGCCGCGUGAACGAAGAAGGCCGUGAGGUUGUAAAGUUCUUUUCGGGAGGGGGAACAACCGUGGCAGGGAAUGGCCCGUCGGGAUGACGUGAAUCCCGGAAUAAGCCCCGGCUAACUACGUGCCAGCAGCCGC